This 433-nucleotide ribosomal RNA is filed under the name uncultured bacterium. RNAcentral describes it as "partial 16S ribosomal RNA". It matches the Rfam family "Bacterial small subunit ribosomal RNA", at positions 29 to 507 of the family's 1533-position model. The record is from RNAcentral.
AACGAACGCUGGCGGCAUGCCUAACACAUGCAAGUCGAACGAAACCUUCGGGUCUUGUGGCGCAUGGGUGCGUAACGCGUGGGAACCUGCCCUUAGGUUUGGACUAACUCUCCGAAUGGGGUGCUAAUACCGGAUCAUGUCUUCGGACCAAAGAUUUAUCGCCCUUGGUUGGGCCCGCGUUGGAUUCGCUGGUUGGUAGGGUAAAAGCAUACCACGGCGAUGAUCCAUAGAUGGUCUGAGAGGAUGAUCAGCCACACUGAGACUGAGACGCGGCCCAGACUCCUACGGGAGGCAGGAGAGGGGAACAUAGGAAAAUGGGGGAAAGGCUGAUCCAGCAAGGCCGCGUGAGUGAUGAAGGCCUUAGGAUUGUAAAGCGCUUUUAACCGGGAUGAUAAUGACAGUACCGAGAGAAUAAGCUCCGGCUAACUCCGUG